GUUCGGUGGUUAUGGCGAGAGGGAAACACCCGGUCCCAUUCCGAACCCGGUAGUUAAGCCUCUCAGCGCCGAUGGUACUGCAUGGGAGACUGUGUGGGAGAGUAGGACGCCGCCGGACC
RNAcentral lists this ribosomal RNA (119 nucleotides) under Actinomadura rifamycini. The record is from RNAcentral. Lineage: Bacteria; Bacillati; Actinomycetota; Actinomycetes; Streptosporangiales; Thermomonosporaceae.